Molecule: small nuclear RNA, 158 nt
Filed under: Helianthus annuus (common sunflower)
Lineage: Eukaryota; Viridiplantae; Streptophyta; Magnoliopsida; Asterales; Asteraceae
Description: U1 spliceosomal RNA
Rfam family: U1 spliceosomal RNA
About the family: U1 is a small nuclear RNA (snRNA) component of the spliceosome (involved in pre-mRNA splicing). Its 5' end forms complementary base pairs with the 5' splice junction, thus defining the 5' donor site of an intron.
Source: RNAcentral
UCACUUACCUGGACGGGGUCAAUGGGUGAUCAACAAGGUCCAUGGCCUAGGUUGGUGACCUCCAUUGCACUUCGGAGGGGUGCCCACCUAAGGUCGGCCCAAGUGGUCGAGCCUACGUCAUAAUUUGUGGCAGUGGGGGCUUGCGUUCGCAGCCCUUG